UUCUCCUCCACAAUCCAUUAAAGGGGUUUCUUUUAGUACUCAGCCUUCUGCCAAAUUGUCACUGAUUCAAGUUUACUCUAGAAGACCAGUGCCUACUGAUACAUGUCCUGCACUAAAGUCUUCUUUACUAUCGAAUUCACCACCGAGUGACCUUGAUCUCCCCAUUAGUCUUCGUAAAGGUAAACAACAGUGUAAGUCUACCUAUUAUGUUGUUAACUUUAUUUCUUAUGAUCAUUUGUUUUCUUCUACCUCUUUAAUUGCCUCUCUAGAUUCUAUUUUCUUACUUAAGACAGUUGAAGAGGUCCUAAUCUAUUUUGGAUAGCUUGAUGCAAUGCUUAAGGAUAUCAAGGCUCUAGAUGAUAAUUAUACUUGGAAACUAGUGAAUUAAUCCCAAGGCAAAAAGGUCGUGGGCUGUAAAUGAGUGUUUAGUGAGGUUUAAGGCACAUCUUAUAGCUAAAAGAUAUGCACAAACCUAUAGAAUCGACUAUUCUGACAUUUUCUCUAAUGGCCAGAAUGAUCUCAAUUCGCUUGUUCAUUUCCUUUACUCUUUCUCAGCAUUAGCCUUUAGACUAGCUCGAUAUCAAUAAUGCCUUUCUACAUGGUGACCUCCAGGAGGAGGUGUAUACAGAGCAACCACCUAGAUUUAUUUCUUAGUGGGAGUAGGAAAAAGUCUGUUGUUUAAAAAAAUCUUUAUAUGGUUUGAAGCAAAGUCCUUGUGCUAGAUUUGGCAAGUUCAAUGAAGUUGUUCAAUAAUUUCAAUUGAAAAAGAGCAAGUGUGACCACUCAGUCUCUUAUAGGCAUUCAAGUCCUGGUAUUAUUCUCCUUAUUGUGUAUGUUGAUAGACAUUGUCACUGCAAGAAAUGAUUAUGUCGAAAUUUCUUCUCUCAAAUCCUUCUUUCAUACGAAUUUCAUACUAAAGAUUUGGUCAGCUUAAAUAUUUCUUAAGAGUAGAAGUCUUGAGUGAAAAAGGAAUUUUUUUGCCUUAAGUAUGUUCUUGACUUACAGAAACUAGAAACUGGAAAGUUAGGAGCUAAACCUUUAGCACACCAAUGAUUCCUAAUGUAUAUCUCACGAAGGAUGAUAGAAACCCCUAUAAUGACUUAGAGAGAUACAAGAGCUUGAUUGGAAAGCUGAGCUACUUUACAGUGAUAACUCGGCCAAAUAUUACUUUUGGAAUAAGUGUUACAAGUUAAUUCAAGUCUAUAUCUACGAUAAAAUAUUGGGCCGCUCUAAAAUAAAUUUUAUAUUAUCUAAAAAGGACCUCUAGACUCGGCAUACUCGUGAUCAUGGAAAUACUACAAUUAAGUGUUUUUCGAAUGUUAGUGGGCGAGAUCCAAAAGUAAUAGAAAAUUCACUACAGGCUACUAUGUACUUUUUGAAGGAAACUUAGUGUCUUGGAAAAGCAAGAAAAGAAGCAGAAUAUGGUAUCCAGAUCCUGUGCGGAGUCAAAAUACAGAGUCAUGACCCAAUCCACUUAUGAGAUUCUAUGGAUAAAUCAUUUGCCGAAAGAAAUUGAGAUGGAUGUUGGGCCACUCACAAAACUUUAGUGUUAUAAUCAAGUUGCUCUUCACAUUGCAUCCAAUCCGAUAUACCAUGAAUGGACUAAACAUAUUAAAAUUGAUUCUCAUUUAUCUGUGAGAAUAUUCAAGAAGAUUUAAUUUUCACCAGUUAUGUGAAGACAGAAAAGUAAUUAGCUUGAAGGCAAGUGUGAUAGUGUGAAUAUAAUCUGUACAUAUUUAGAAUAUAUUGCAAAAUCAUAGGACUAAUUAAUAUUAAUUGAUAGAUAGAGGAUUUUUAAGAGAACGAUUUGUUACCUAAAUAAAACCUUGUAAUCUGUAUAUACAUAUUAUUGUUUAACAGAAAAUACAUCAACUAGUUCCUACAAAUCUAGUUUGUUACAAAAAUAAAAAACUCGAUACCACUAACGCAAAACACAAUCCUACGAACCCAAAGUUCAAAGAACAUGCCUUCCAUUUGUUCUUGACUAAAGUAAAAUAAAAAGUAAAUAAAUAAAUAAAAGUUAUUUAAUUGGAUGGAAGAAAUACAAGGCAAAGCAGCUUUAAUGGGCGCAUAUUGGACUUGUUAACAGCUUAGGUAAAGGAGAAACAAUAAAGAAAAAAGCUGAGUUUCAUAUCAUAGACACCACUAUGGGCACAGGAUCAGAAUAUGGAUAAUGGUUGUUAUCCUUACGAGGGGUGGUAGCAGUUGUCACCCAUAUAGAAAAAGGUUUUUGUAUGUUUAUCAGGGUCACAAUAACUGCACCAUCAAAAUGUCUGUUAUAUUAUUCAUCAACCAUCAGUUAAAAUGAUGGUUCUCUCAAGUGGUUUUUAUUAGUGCUAGUUAAAAUUGAUAUAUGGUUUUUUUCCACAUUCAACAAUAGCACAUUAGCUCAUGUAAUAGUUGCAGUAAAUAGAAUAAUUACAUCUUGUACUGGUGGUCAUGCUCUUCAUGUAAUUGCUGUUGUGUGAGGGAAAUAUCAAACCCCUGCUUUGGGAGGCUGAAUAGUUCCCGAAGGUCCUGAAAUCAUUUGCAUUUGAGUAAAGACUAGACUCCAAAAGCUGCACCACAAAUUGCUCCAAUAAGGAAGCAAACAAAAACCUCAUACUGUUUACCUGCUGGCUAAAGUACCGAAUCUGUUCCUUGUGUUCAGUUGCGCUUUUAAACAAUCCUCCCUUGAAUAUCUAAAGCAAAAAUUUUCCAAAUGACAUCAUUAUACUAUAGCUUUAUUAAUUCACAAGCAUUGCACAUAUAAACAGUUAUUAAAGAUGCAUAGCAAACUUUUAGUUAGGGAACUUUACUAUUUAGUCCAUAUGGUAUAGGGAAAACGAUCAGUUUUAGAAAAUACAUUAAAAUGCCCGAGUUUUAAAAAAAAUUUACUAAUUAUUCUUUCCGUUAGUUUUAGUUGUUAACUAUUUUACUAUUUAGUCUCUAUUGUAUGGAAAAACUCAAUAAAUGAUUCCUUAAUUUUGUAAAAAUAUUUACUAUUUAGUUCCUUCGAAUUGAGGGCAUUUUAGACUUUUACGCAACACUUAACAGCUAAAAUUAACUAAGGGACUAAUUAAUAGACUUUUUAAAAUGUAAGAACGUCUUAAUAUAUUUUUUAAAACCAAGGGACGAACUAAUGAAUUUUCCUAAUCUACAGAGACAACGUAGUAAUUUUCCCUUUUAGAUUUGUGAUACAACUGUUAAUCAAAAGAAUGGAAAAUAAUCCAUAACUCAAAGAUCAACACUAGUUACAUGUGCAUGGUCAACUCUAAUGGCAACCAGAAUAUGAAUUGCAUAAACAGAAAUUUCUUCAACAAUAAAAAAGAAACUAGAUACAUUUAAGAUAAUAUCCAAGAAAUAUAUUUUUCUAACCACUUGCAACAUUGUAUUUAAUAAUGGUCAAUUGAAUCUCAGCUAGGGGUGAGCAUUCGGUCGGUUCGGUUCAAAACCGAACCGAACCGAAAUAACCGAAAACCGAAUUACAGUAUUUUACAUAAACCGAACCGAACCGAAUAAGAGAGAUAACCGAAUCAAACCGAUUUGGUUCGGUUCGGUUCGGUCGGUUUGAUCCGUUAAACCGAUUUUCAAACUUUUCAUUAUUCUUUUUACUCUUUUUAAAUUGAUUUUUAGUAUUCUAAAAUUUAAUCUAAAAAGAGUAAAAAGAACAAUCACAGCACACAAAUUCAACACACAAAUUCAACAAUCAAACAUUCAACACACAAAUUCAACAAUCAAACGUACACAAAUUCAACAAUCAACAGCAAAUAACACUUGCCAAAAUAACACUUGCCGACUGAGGGCUGUGGAAUAAGCACUUGCCGACUGUCCGACGACGCGUGGAGAGCCGAUAGAGUACAACGACCGACGUCGAUGAUGAAUCAGUUCAGUUGAGAGGAGAGUGGAGGCACAGGUGCGAGAAUCUCGCGGCGAGAUGAGAGCCAUGCAGAGCAUAGAGAUGAGAGAUUGUCGACUGCCCGACGACGCGUGGAGAGCCGAUAGAGAGCAACGGCCGACGCCGAUGGUGAAUCAGUCCAAUCGAGAGGAGAGUGGAGGCACAGGCGCGAGAAUCUCGCGGCGAGAUGAGAGAUGGAGCAGAGCACAGAGAGAGAGAUGGAGCAGAUGGAGCAGAGCACAGAGAGAGAGAUGGAGCAGAUGGAGAUGAGAGAUGGAGCAGAUGGAGCAGAGCACAGAGAGAGAGAUGGAGUAGAUGGAGAUGAGAGAUGGAGCAGAUGGAGCAGAGAGCACAGAGAUGAGAGGAGCACUGGCGGCACGCACGAAGAGAUAGAAAUCUGUUUUAGAUUUAGGGCAGGGAAGGGAAGGGAAGGGAAGGGAAAUAGGGAACUAUUAAAACGACGUAGUAUAGGUGAUUUCGGUUCGGUUCGGUCUAAUCGAAAUUUUUACGUCUAAAACCGAACCGAACCGAAAUCACCGAUUUUUUAAAAAUUUCAAACCGAACCGAACCGAAAAAAAAAAAAAACCGAACCAAAAUUUUAAAAUUAAUCGGUUCGGUCGGUUAUUUCGGUUUAAACCGAAUACUGCUCAGCCCUAAUCUCAGCAGUUCAUUUGUAUAUUUCAUAAUCUGAACAUUAAGACCAUUAAGUAAAAGAGGCUUUUUCAAUAGUUCUAAACUAAAUCUAAACUUUAGACACGUUGGAGCAACAUAUUGAUUCAUAACCAACCUCAGUUUGAAUAACAGAACCAGAAUUGGUGUAACAGAAUUUAAUUAAAUUAGUGUGAAAUAGAUUAAAUCAUCUCCCAAUUCAGAAAUAGAUUCAGAAUUUAAAAGAAUGUAAUAGAAUCAGUCUGAAUUUGAAACAGACAACAUUUUAAAUUCCAAAACUAACAUUCUAACAGUUCAUACUGCAAAUUUGCAUACUUUAUAUGAUCUUCACAGCACAACGAUAAGCAAGAAGGGUAAUAAAUCCUUCACCUGCUUUCUGUAUAUCUUUUCUUCAACAGUUCCACAUGUCAUUAAUCUAUACACAAGGACAUCUUUCUUCUGGCCAAUUCGAUAUGCACGAUCAACACUUUGGUUAUCCGUGCUGCAAAAAAAAAUCAGUGAAUUUACAAAUUACUCCAACAAAUAAGUGAACUUACAAACUUCUUUACAAAGCAUGGUAAGCAAAGGCAGAAAAUAUUACAUGAGUCAUGUAUACUCUGGAUCUAAACUAAAACAAAUCAGACAGACUACAAACUUCUUUACAAAGCAUGGUAAGAAAAGGCAGAAAAUAUUACAUGAGUCAUGUAUACUCUGGAUCUAAACUAAAACAAAUCAGACAGACUGCAUAUAUAUAUAUAUAUAUUAUCAUGUAGUUGUAAUUAGAAACCUAUAAUUGCUCUACUAAUUAGGAAUACAAAUAUACAAGGAUAAGAUUUGGUGGACUUUCUAUUACACUUCCCCUCAAGUUGGAGUAUAAAUAUUAAUCAUAUCCAAUUUAUUACAAAUGUAGUAUACUUGAGCUCCAAUCAAAGCUUUUGCAAAAAUAUCUCCUUAUUGCUCUCCCCUCAAGUUGGAGUAUAGAUAUUAAUCAUGCCCAAUUUAUUACAAAUGCAGUAUACUUGAGCUCCAACCAAAGCUUUUGCAAAAAUAUCUCCUUACUACUCUCCAGUUUUGACGCGUCCUUUUGAGAUAACUUUUUGUUGAAUCUUCUCGUGUGAUAAUCAAUCUCUAUUUGUUUGAUUCGCUCAUGAAAAACAAGAUUAGAAACAAUAUGGAGGAAAUUUUGAUUAUCACACCAUGCUUUCACAAGUAGUUAGGUUUUAAGGCCAACAUCAUCUUGUAACUUAAGUAUUCACAUUACUUCAUAGACUGAUUGAUCCAUGGCUUUCUACUUCGAUUCAGCACUACAUCGAGAAACUCCGCUAUGCUUCUUACUCUUACAAGAUACCAAUUACAUCUAACAAAAACAUAAUAUCCUCUAGUUGAUCUCCUAUCAGCCUUAGUUCUUGCCUAGUUAUGUGUCUGAAAAACAUUCAAUGUUCAAAUGCCUAUGAUUAUUAUAUAAGGAAAAAAUUACUAUUAGGUCCCUAGGAUUUCAAUAAAUUUACCCUAUUCCUAAAGUCACUCAAUUAAAAAUGUUUUUGUAUUUUAUCAAAUUAAAAUCUUUUGUCAAAGAAACCAUUACCAAUCCUGAAUAUUUAGGCUUAUUAAACAUAAAAGACCAAAACUUUAUAUUUAAUCACCAUUAUAGCUAAAACUUGCAAAUUUUGGAUGACAAAGCCCAUAUUUUAAAUUUAUUACAAUUGUAACCAAUCCUUAAAAUAAUUUUUCCAAUUGGACAUAAUAGUAUAAAUAUUUACGUUUAAUCACGAUUAUAGUCAAAAUUUAAUUAAAAAUUGGUCAAUUUAUUUAUGUGCAUGACAUGUGUAUCUUCUUUUGUUUUUAUUUUUCAAAAUUAAAUGGAUGAACUAUUCUUUGAGAUUGAGAUUCAAAUACAAAUAAAGUGGAUGGCUUGUGAUUUGCAAUUAAAACAUUUCGUGUUGCUCUUCAAUAAAUCCCAUAAAGAGUUUUGAGGUUAUUUGCUCCCUAGCAUUUGUCUACUCUUCAAUUUUAUCAUUUAUUAAAGAUAACAUUCUCUAGGAACUAAAAAAUGAAGACACUAUUUUAGAUGCAAUAAUGCAUACCAACAUCACUUUAAGCAAAGAUGAAUGAUCUAUUAUUGAUGCUAGUUAAAAAACUAAAUCUGCAAGCUGUUCAUUUCUUCUCUCCUAUUUCACUUCUUUUAUACCUAAAUUUUUGCUUGUGAUCUAAAAAACCAACUCUAAUCAGCAUAAGGUCUGUUUUUCUUUUAUAUUAUUAAUUUUGAAUCUGUAGAGGAUAUCAACAUUUAAAAUUGAAUGAAGCUCACCUCUCUAGAAGUUAUUUUCUUUUAAAAAGUUUGGAUAUUUGAAUGAUGCAGACAGCCUUUAAAUUUGUUUUAAAGAAGAGCAUAUCCAGUCAUUGAAGAGGGUUUCUAGACCUGGUCAUCUGGAAUGGCUCCAAAAAGUUGGGCUGUUAUUGCCAUGCCAUUUUUACUUUAAGUUGGGCUGUUAUUGCCAUGCCUUUUUUACUUUAUUUAUGUAACUUACCAUCUUCCUUUGAUUAAAGAGUAUGAACUUUGGUCUUAUUGUCAAGUAUGUCACCAUUAGGUGAUAGAAAUAACUCGAGUUUUACUCAUUUUACAUGUUUGCCACUAUAGCCUAUUUCCUUUGUAAGUUCAUAAGAUCUAUUGCAUUCACAACUAUUGAAAUCAAAAAUUAAAUUGUUCAUUUUAGUUUAUGGAUGAAUUAAAGUUCAAUUUUAGCUUUAUACGUGUGAUUUAUUUUGGUCUAAUAGAGCCACAAAUUAUAAGAUUCAAUGAUUAAUCUAAAAUUUGAAUUCUAAAAUUAAUUAUGGGCAAUUAUACAAAUUUGAUUAGAAUUGAAUUUACUCUAAAGUUAUUUUCCAAGAUAAUUAUGCAGCAUCUAAACUUAUUUUAGAGUUUAGCUCUCUAAUUUUAAUAUUCUAAUACUGCUACGUAUGUUGCAUUUGGCUUUUACCUUAAUUUCUAACCAAUUUUGUUUAAUGCUACCAAAUAGUAGAAUGUAAGCCAUUUUCUCAUAAGAUGUUCUUAAAAAAAAUAUAUAUUACAUAAACAAGUUAUUUUGAGCAAAACAGCAGUAUAGUUGUCUUUCCAUUUCAACAACACCAAAAUUUGCUAUAUGUAAAUAAAAGGAAAAGCAUAAGCACCUUGGAUUCCAUGCAGGAUCAACCACAAUGACACGGUCAGCUUUUGUAAGUGUAAGGCCAAGACCACCAACUUGAGAUGUGAGGAGAAAUAUAGGGGCCCCAAAACCUUCUUGGAAAUCCUGAAAAAGGAAAUGAAUAUUUUAGAUAAAGGUUCCAUAAAUGAGAAGUUCAAGCUAACUAUUCUGAAUUCUCAAGACACUUAACAUUAACAAUCUUCAAUCUGUCACUAGCUUUAGUGGUGCCAUCAAUGCGUAAGAAUUUGUAACCAUUAGACAGCAGGGAUUCCUACAAAAACCAAAGAUUGAUCCAAAAACACCUUUAAAUGCGUACAUAUUAACAAAAUUGAAGCAAAUUAGAAAAGAUAACAUCCAUAAACUUACAAAUAUAUCAUAAAUUUUGAGAUCAAAAGCACUGAAAACUUAAGAAAGAUACAACAAAAUUUUGCCCAGCUCUUUGUCCAUCAAUAGCUAUAUAACGAAAUAUAUACUAAAGAAUUUGAUCCUCUCAAAUAACAAAACAAUAGAUGAAAUAAACAAAUUGUAUAGAAUGACAGCUUAUACAUAUUCAAGGUGAACAAGCACACUACAUCAGCUAAUGCAGACAUGACAGCAGCAUAACUACAUCAUCACUUCCUACUCUGUCAGAGAGAAACCAGAAAAGUAGGAGGAUAGAGUUUCAGCCUUUGGAGCACUAAUUUUCACCUUACCGGGCUUCUUUUAUAGCUUAUGACAAACCAAGGCCCUAACCCUAUUCCACAUGUACCUAUGCCUCAAGUCAAGUCAUGAAAAUAAGUAAUCAGACAGAAACAUAAUUUUGGUGAUAUCAACUAAAUAAUUCAAUGGAUUUAAGACAGUUUUGAAAUCCGAUCCAAAAAUAGUUUUUUGUGCUAAAAAUACUGUUUACAGGAGAAGCACGAACACAAUAGGAAGUGUAACCUAGCAGAAGAAGAUUGAUUAUUCAAGGCUGUUUAAGUAUGAUUGCACUCUCUAAUAGUAUGAAAGGAAUAUAGAUUGUAUCCACAACCUAUAUAAAUUCCCCUAGACUUCAUAAUAUCAAGAUUGCAACUUUUACCAAGUCUUCCUUCAUUGAAAACAUCAAUCAAGCCCCAUCUUUUCUCCUAUAGAGCAAAGAAUUUCUAUUGAUAAAUUAUAAGAACAAGUAAAAAGCCCCUAAUGAUAAUAAUAGUAAUAAUAAUAAUAAUAAAUGAACAUCUCAAACUAACAAAAUAAAAAAGUAAAACAGUAGUGAAGCACAAAUGCUCCAAAGACCCACUUUUUGAGAAAAAUUUAUAAAACCACCAAACUAUGGAACAUUAACAUAAGCCAAAAACACUACCCUAUACAGCAAUAAUAGUACAAGUAGAUAUUGGUCCCUAAAGAAAGUUUCCCCAUCCAAAUAUACCAAAUAAUAGCAAAAUUAGCCCAUCUACAGAGAACGAUCCCCUACUUUCUUCUCCCAAAACAUGUAAAUUAAAUUAUAAAAUUCUUAAAGUCUGUAAGCAAACUGGCCUAUUCCAAAAUGCCUACAACAUAUACCUCAGUGUGUAUUAACAAGUAUAUAUAAUAGUUUGAAAGUCUUGAUUCUUAGAAGGUACAAAAUAAAUAAAUAAAUCUAAAGGGUAUUAACAAUAACAACUAAACCCUAAUCCCAAACUAGUUAGGUUCAGAUAUACGAUUUCUUUCGCCACAUAAGAAGAGGAGAAUAUUAAUAAGUUCAUAAUUUGAUGCACAUUUUGCAUUAGAUCCAUUUGCACAAAGUACUGUGUAACGACCCUAAAUUCUGAAGAUCAUUAGUCGAGUCAAUAAAAUAUUCUAGGACUUGGAAAAUGAUUCAUAAAGACAGUUAAAAAUGUAAAAUAAUUACAAUGAAUAAAAUUCAUAUAAAAAAUAGAAAAGAACAUGAAUUAUUAUAAUUUAAGAACUAAAAUUAAUAGACUAGCUAAAUCAAAGACUUGAAAAUUAAUAGACAAACUUAAAUUAAUUACAUAAAAUUAAAAGAAUAAAAGUAAAAAAGAAACGAAAAAAAAAUGUAAGCAUUAAAAGGGAUAGUGGAGCUUUCCACCACCACCCACCAUCUUCUUCCUUCCUUUAUCCCUUCUCUUUCCUUACUCUUCUUUUUUUCCAUUUUCUUUCCUCACAUUCGGUUACAAUCAACCAACUGUCACCACCACCAAAUUUCACCCCAUUUUACCCAAAUUCAAGUAUAAAUCAAAACGAAAUAGAGCAAAUAAGUGAAAAUUUACAAGUAAGGGAAGUUUGGUGAAAGAAUUGAAGAGCAAGAAUUCAACCAGCAUUAGGUGAGUAAAUUUCAGCCUUCUUUCAACUCUUCAGUCUUCUCUUUUCCUCCUUGGGUGUUUUAGCGAUGGGGAAAGGCAUAGGAAGUGUUGGAGUAAGCAAACAAACAAGUUUCAAUAGAGAACUUAUUAACAUGAUAUGAUGAUAAUUAUAUUUGUACACCAAAUUCAGAUGAGAGGUGACACAAGAAAGCCAGUAAUUUAUGCACUUAAAUUUUCCUCUUUGAAAAACAAAACAAAGGAAAAUACACCAAAAAUAAAAUUAUAGUUUUAAACAAACCUGAAUAAGAUUAAGCAUCUUGCGUGUUUGGGAGAAGAUAAGAACAUUAUGCCCCUUUGGAAUUAAAUCAUCCUAGUAAAAAACAUCAUAUGCAUUAAACAUAAGCAAUUCAACACUAAAACUUGGGCAUAAUUUAUGAUUUGAGUUAUCUGGAGGUAUCUAACCAGUAGUGACAAAAUAAAAGAUAUCUUGCAUGAAACGUUGUCAUGCUUCUCUUGAAACUCAACUCUUUCAGCUACAUCAGCAACCUGCUUUGCCAAUUUUUCUGCUACACCAGCAUCCUCUGGAUUUAGCAUUGAAUCCAUUCCUUCUAAUACAUCUUCAGCAGCUCUUUUUGUCAAAAGAAGUGGGUGAUCACAUAUUUUUUUUAGAAUCUGCACCAAGGCAAAUAGUAAUCAGUCAUAAACACAGUCUAUGCAUCAAAACAGAAGUUAUAAAGCAAUUAAGUGCAAGACAAUGUUUGGUCUAAUCCUAUAUAUGUACAGUGUAUGAAAUAACAAAAACAAAAAUGUGUGGAUAAUGAUAAAGCACCGUCAAUGCAGCCAGUGGUGAGCCAUCAAAAGCUGAUAACACCAGCUCACUUUGCAAAAAGGCUUCAUACAUUUGUUUCUGCACACAAAUAAGCGGACCUGUCACAUGAUUAAUUAAAAAUAAUUCCAUGAAAAUAAAAUGGAAGAUGACUUGAAAUGUAGACCAAGCAAACAAACCCCACCUGACAGCGGGUAAGUCUUAGCCACACAAUCAUCUCAUUCUUUUUGGAAAGUGUAGCAGUUGUAGAAUCAUCUUCCUUAAAUACUUCACUCUUCAAUCGACGUAAAAAAUAAGGUUGAAUGCGUUCUCUUAGCUCCUAUUAAGUAAAUAACAAACACUUAUGAAUCAUUUUUGGCUAUAGUCAUGAAAUUUACCCAAUAACUACUAAUAAAACAAAAUUAAAAAAGCUGAAAUCUUAAAAAUUGUAAGGUUUAUGUUACGUGUUAUAGGAGAAAGAUGAGAAAUGUAGAGGAAAAUAUGUAAUUAGACUUGAGGGUAAAUUGGGUAUAGAUUCAUAAAGUAGUUAGACAGCCAGAAGGUUAUUAUCCAGCUGGGUUUCUGUUAGAAAAACAAUAUAUAUGUUUGCAGCUUAUUGUAGAGAGACUAUGCAAAUACAUUAAUACAAAAGCCUAUGCCCCAUAUACCCCAGAAUAUUCUGAGUUAUUAUCUAUUUUUCAAAUAACCGUACACCUUCAUAAGUUCUGCAGCAUCAAAGUCCUCAUUUGUCCUGUUUUUACCCAGAAUUCCAACCAAUUAUCUUUGCAAGUUUUUAAAUGUAUAUGUUUUUUUCAUGAUCAUACUCUUAGAAAAGACAAACUCGAAGUUAAAUCCAUUAAAUGUGUUUUUUUGGAUAUUCACAACUUUAAUUAGGCUACAAAUAUUGUGAUCCUACUACUAACAAAUAUUUUGUAUCUGCAAAUAUAAUCCUUUUUCAAACUUCUUAUUUUUCCUCUAAUCAAGCACACAAAACCUUUGUUCCUUCAACCUUGCCUAUACUCAACUCUUAUUUCUUCUCUAUCUCAAAUUUGUCAACCUUCCACUUCUACACCACCUCUUCAGACCUACUCACGUCGUUCUGAUUCCCCAUGCUAAUAACAAUAUUUUGAGACAACUAAAAAUGAAAAGAUGGACGAAAAUUAUAGAACGGAAGGAAUACUAGACUUUGAGAUCAAUUCUACUUUCAUAAAAAUUUUCAUUUUUUCAAUUUACCUUUAUUGUUUGGCAAUGUACAAAACCUAAUUUCUACAGGUACGAUUGAUAUGAGGUUAAAUAGGGUUAUGUAUUACGCGGUAAUAGUUAACCUCAUUUAGUUAUAAUUGGAUUUGCAUUAAAAUUUACACUAGGUUAAUAUAUCACCUCUGAUAGGUGCAUGUUCAUUGCACUACCUCACCCUAGUGCAACCUCCGAAUGAUUUUAUAUCACUUUAAAUGGGUUACAUUUUAACCCCUCAACUUUUUUUAUUUCUGAUCUUGUCAUACCAUACAUGAGAUAGGUUAAUGGGUUAAUAGUUAACCUCAUUUUCAAUAUUGAAUCAAACAUCAUGAAAAGAAAAUUUUUUUUAGGAAUUAAUUAUUCCUCCAUAAAAGAAUGCACAAUUAACUAUUAACCUUAUCUUAUUAACCCUAUACCAAACAUAUCCUAAGAGUUGCAACUUCUCCAUUACGACAAUUAUAUCUAUAUAACACAUUAGCCAUUUCAACAACAUAAAUGAAGUCAUGGUUGCAAUCUUAUCACUCAUGAAAUAUAGCUGAAAAAUUCAUUAUUGUGUUGCUUAAAUAAAAAGAACAAAAUGGAUAAGGAUAGCAUAUACAAGUAAUUUGAGAUCAAAGUAAAUGGAAAUUUUAAACUUGGUAUUAGAAGAAAUGGAAAGUUUUGUCAUAAAUAUGGAUAAAAUUAACACAGAGUUACUAACUUAAGUUUUAGGUUUCUCUAGAUUGAUAAAUAUUAGGUCUUGCAAUUAAGAAUGGAAAGAAAAUUGCAUCAAAUAGAAUUGUAAAAUGCUCAUUAAUACAACAUGGUUUCUAUUCUAAUUUAAGACCAAUACAAAAGCAUGAUAUUGAAGUUAUGGGGAAUGAAAAUUACCAUAACCGCAUUAGUUAAUAUGUAGAUAAACCUAGACAUUGUAAAUUUUUACUUCAUAUUUGCUUUCAAGCGUGACAAAACUUGUAGCAUCCCAAUAAGGGUAAACCACUAUAAAGCAAUAAGAAGUUAAGGUGUAAGUGAUGGGUUAGUUGCAAGCCUAAACAUACUAACAAUUCUUUAUUAAUAGAGCACAUCACAAUAAUCACAGUACUAAAGAAUAUCUAAGCAUGUACUUGUCAUGCUUGCAAUACUGGAGCCCAUUUUGAUUCCGUUAGGCACCCUCCAAAACUCAUUAAUAUCAAAAACCUCUUUCUAACUUUGCAAAUACACCAAUAUCUUUUCGAUGGCAAUAUACUAAUAAAAAUUACAUAGGUUAAAGUUCCAACACAAAGCAAAAAAGUGUUAAGCUUAGAGCAAAACAAUUCAUUGAUAGGGUUCCUUCUCCUUUUCACCUUUUUUUACCAUUUACAAAAAUGUUUUGCACCCAACCAACUGGAAAAAAAAUGUGAAUAUCCAUAUCAUCAUUACACAUUUUGAUUUGGUUAUAACACCCCAUGAAAUGCAUAGCAAAAGAACACACAAUUGAUAAAGUGUUCCCUCUCAUUUUCACCUUUUAAUUAUUUAGAAAAAUAUUGCGCAAAUAAAUAUCCUAAGCAAUUUGCUUUUAACAUCAUAAUCUCAUUGAGAAGAAUGAAAAGAAAAAAAAAAGAAUCUUUGAACCCAUGAUGCCUAAACAGCAUUCCACCACAUAUAAAUUCAUCACCUUUGCAACGGCUGAACCAAUAUGCUUCUCCCUAGCAGAAGCACUUUUAUCAUUGCCGCGAAGGAUUGGAUGUUCAUAGUGUUCUUUAAACCUAAGAAAUUGUCAACAUUGACAUCAUUAAAAGUACAUAUUUAGUCAAAGCCAAAUGAAGCAUGAAGGAAAACAAUACCAUUUAUAGUCACCAAGCAGAGUGGGGCAACAAAAGUUGAAUAACGUCCACAUUUCCUAUUUUGAAGAGACAAGUAAUCAAUUUACAUUCAGAACUUUCUUCAUGUGGUUUAAUAUGAAACAACAUUAGCAAAGUAUGGAUCCUAAACAUGAUACCUUAAGAUUGUUUUGAAUUGGUGUUCCACUAAUAAUAAUACGAUGAGCACUCGGUAUCUCAAGCAAACUUUUUGCCCUCUGUGUGCUAGGAUUUUUUAUGAGAUGUCCCUAGAAAAACACAAUGCAUAGAAACAGAUUAAAUAAUGUAUUCAUAAACAAAGCAUUUGUUACUUCUAAUUUGAAAAUCUCAAACUGUGGGAAAUUUAAAUGGAAUUCCAUAAUUUGGAACCAAAAUUAUAUCAAUAAAGCUUUGGAAUCAAUCAAUUUUAAGGCUCCAAACAACUAACAUCUAACAAUCAACAAAUUAAAAUAAAAUUUGGUUAAUAAUUGGGGACCAAAAGGCUAACAUAUGAAAUACCCCCCCCCCAAAACUUUCCAUAAUGGAAUACAAAAUGCCACUCUACUAUUCCAUCUCAAAACAACUAAUCUAUUAACAUGCACAUGCUCUCUUAUCUUAUUUAUAUAACCAAUUAUCACAAUUAAAAUAAGUAUGAUUGAGCUGCAAUUAAAUAUGGACAUGGUGAAUUGUAUAAUGAAGACCCUAAGUAGAGUUUAGAGAGUUGUAAAUGGAGGCUGCAAUUAGUAGAAACUGAUAGGUUUGGGGCUGGUAAAAGGAAAUGAAGUAAAAUUGGGAAUAAGCAUAAAAUAUGAAUAAAAAGCAAUUGAAAUGUCGUUUUGUUUAUUUAAUUGAAUUGGUUCACCAAAUUCUUUACAAACAAAAGAGUAAAAACAUAUAAAUUCCAAUUGAACUCAAUCGAAUUCGUCUAAAGAUUCUGAAGUAAAUCUGGAUCUUGGUCCAACAGUGAUAGUUAUUGGAAAGAAGAUAUUAAGAGCAGGAAAAAAAGUUAGAACUUAAGCACAAAGCAACUUUCACUAAGCUUUUCUCAAGGCAAUGAGAGAAUCCUAAUGUAGUUAUGGUUCCAACUCAAUUAAGUUAGGGGCCUACUGUAUGCAUAUUAAAAAAAAGCCAAGAAACCUGGAAUAAAUAAGGGAAAAAGAUAGAGAAUGGUUCAUAUACGAUUUUACAAACGUGGUAACUUUUUUAAUGGAUGACAUUACCAGCUAACCAUAUAUGGUUACACAAAUGUAACAACCUUGUCAUAGCAGAAGCAUCAAAGGAAAAGUCAAUGCUUCCCUGGCUUACAUUACAACUAAUGUCUCCAUAAUUUGAGCAGGUGAAAAAAGGAUGCAUCGUAAAAUUAAAUAUCGUAUAAAGAUAUCUACCUCAUCAAGAAUCAUGUAAUCCCAUAUGUAACCACCCUCACUUUCCUCAUCAGCAUAGCCAUCUCCUCUUAAUGAUUUUGCAUUGUUCCGCACAAUAUCAUAAGUUGUAAGGAGAAUGCCUUCGUGCUACAAGGAGACAAGGAAUGCAGAAACGAUGGAACUUAAAAAUAUGCAUAUAAUCAACAAUCAAGAGAGAGGUAAACAACUCAGUAUUCACAAUUCUCUAAAAACCAAGAUUACAGAACAUGGAUCAUGAGGAAAGUGCUUGCAAGAAACUACAAAAACCAAUUCAGAUUCAAAAGCAUAUUGAAUUGGACUUGAACUUUAAAUUUACAGUUGAGGUGUUGUGACAUUUCAUUUUAAAAUCCAUAGAACUGAACCUCCUUUCAAGUCCCUAGUUCAAUGUAAAGAGUAAAAAUCUAGAUCAUUUUCUUGCUUCCCAUUUACUGGUAGGGUAUUGUACUUCAUGAAAUGCAUGGACAUUAUAUCAUGUACUCUGAUUGGAAAUUCAGUAGUAUCAACAAAAAAAGCACUAGUGAAACCUGAAGUAUAUAUUGCAGCUCAUAUUGUCGAGCUUUGGAAGAGGUCCCAAAGUAUCUACAUGGAAGCACAGUGACAGAUCAAUAUAUAUCAACAGACAACUUUUCUUCAACCUUUUAAUAUAAGAGCUUCAGUUAAAUAGCCUUACUCUCUAGUUUCUCCAGAAAGCCCAACAGUGGAUAGCUCUUUGAUCCAAUGAGGAAGUAGUGUUUUAGGGGCCACGACCAAUGCCCUUUUAAUUAACCUCGAAUGAAAAAGUCCAGCUAUAAAUCCACAAAUCUGCAAAAGCAAACAAAUCAAAAUCAAUUAAUUGGAUACAUAACUACAAAAAUAUUCCAAUAAAAUUUGCUCCAGUUUUCUUACCUGCAUUGUCUUACCUAGACCCAUAUCAUCUCCUAGGAUUCCACCCUUACCCUGAUAGUGCAAAGACCAUAGCCACUUUAACCCAUCACGCUGAUGUGGAUACAACAUUUUUGCAAUUUUACUUGGUAGUUCAAAUGUAGAUCUUGGACCAGCCAAAGAAAAGGAGCUUUCAUCCUCCAAAACUGAAUCAUUUGUAUAAUCAUCCAACAAAUCAAUUGCACAGGGGGCAUCAGAUGACUCCUUGCACUUGCUAUCACGCCUCCCAGCUUCUUCAACCACCUUUUUGCCACUCAAAACGAAGCAAUCAUCAUCCUCUUCUUCCCUAAGAAUAGGCACAUAAGAUUGCCUUGCAGAACUUAAUCUCCCUUGCACCCUUUUGGAUUCAUUUUUCUUUGGUCCUUGAGUACUUGUCUUAGUUUUCCACUCCCUAGUGGCAUGGUUGUCACCCUGGGACUCACGACUCAAAACAUUUUCCUCAUUUUUUUCAACAUUAGACAUGUAGGAAUGUCCCCCAGCUUCCAAUUUGUCAUCCACCCUUUCAUACUCAUUCUCCAUUAGCCCUACGCUAUAAUUGUUGGCCCUGUGCAACUUAUCAAGAAAAGCAUCAGCUCUAGACUUGCUCAACAUAUGAACCUCAUCAUAAUCAUCCACAACACUCUCAAUGCAACCACCAACAAUCUUAUUCACUUCAGAUGAAGAAUCAGAUGGAUAAGAUGUACCAGAAAAUGAGGAGUCAGCACUUGCAUAUUGAGGCACAUCAACUUUCUUCUCUCUAUCUCCAACUCCAACCAAUUGUGAACAGUCAUCAGCUGCCUUGACAUUGUGAAUGUCUCUCUUUUUGUCAAUUGAUAAAAGAUCCAGCCUGGAGCUCAAAUCAUCAAGAAUAUACCUGAUUUCAUUGGCAGCCUGAUUACUGUUGGCAUGAGUUGUAGCUCCAGAUGGGAGAGGUGAAUCGAAAUCUGUAAUAUCAGAAAAAGUAGGUUCAUUGAGCUCAGGAGCUACUCUCCCAGCAUUCUCCUUCUCCCGAGAUGAGGCUUUGCAUAGUCGACGUCUCCCUUCAAUCUUAACCUUUGUCUCCUUUUCUUCUUCAGAAAUCCAAGAACCCGCACACAAAAGCAACAAAAACUCUUUGUAAACAAACAAAUAGAGAUUAAACGGGGACAAAAAGUAAUGGAAAGUAAAAUCCAUAAAAGCAUUACCAAAAGGAAAAUUAAAAUCAGUAAUAGCAGGAACACUAGGUUCAUCGAGCAUAGGAGCAACAUUCCCACCAUUUUCCUUGUCUCGAGAUGAGACUUUGCAAAGUCUACGUCUCCCUUCAAUCUUAACCUUUGUUAGCUUUUCUUCUUCAGAUAUCCAAGAAUCCCACACAAAAUCAACAAAAAGUUCUUGGUAAACAUACAAAUAGAGAUUAAAUAUGGCCAAAAAGUAAUUGAAAAUAAAAUUCGUAAAAGCAUUACCAGAUGAAGAAUUAAAAUCAGUAAUUCCAGAGAACAUGUGAAUUUGAUGAUGAUCAUCAUCAUCAUCAACGCCCCGCUGGGUCCCAGUAGCCGAUGCUUUGCAUAGACGACGUCGUCCUCCGAGAUUCAUACUCUCUUCUUCCUCUUCUGUACACCAUACAUUAAUGAAUUAACAAAUAACACACAAUCAAAACCCUAAAGUAAAGCAAGUGAAAAAAGAAACAACGACAAAGAGAGAGACCGAAAGAAGAUGGAUUCUUCGGGGGAGCAGAGAGGUCGUAGAGAAAACGAUAAUGGCUAUCGUUUAAGCUUACUGGUUUCCUGCUACUUUUCUUGGCGUCGGCCAUUUCUGUUUACCAGACCCAGUAGUGAAUAGAAUUGGGUUUGUUUUUAAUGGGUUGUGGAGCGGAGUUAUUGAAUUCUCCCGCUUAUUUGAAAUUUGGAUUUUGCAUUGGCAAAUGAUGUAAUAAUCGCCUAGGGAGUAGUCCCUGUUUUUUUAUCUUUCACUCCGGCUUUGUUAAAAAUAUAUAUAUAAAAAAAAACCUACUUCAACGAGGCUCGGCAAAGUUACUAGAAUUGAAAAACCUACUAAGUUAUACCAGAACAAAAAAAUCGAUAUCAUAGGAAAUGAACUAAAUUUAUUUUACUAUAUGAUUUCAAAUAUGAUUCCAGUUAUGAUUCUUUCUGAAUCUUUCAAUAGAUUUUUAAAAUGUAAGAUAAUUAAUUUGAUGUGAUAUUCCAUUAGAUUCCAAAUAAACAAAAAACAAAAUAUUCAUCCAUAUGCUUUAUACCAUUAUUCAUUCUCAAAACUUUUAUUUUAAUAUCAAAUUGAGUAAAAAUUAUCUUGUGAAAAAAUUAAAAGCAAUAAAACAUAUCACUCUUUGUUCUUAUUAAAUAAAUUCAAGUCAUACCUGCAAUCAAUAAAAAUAACAAAUCAAUAAUUAUUAGAUAAUGGGACCAUUUGAAUAGGUGUCCAAAUAUCAAAAUGGAUGAUCACAAAAGGAUCUCAAUCCUAUUAUUACUUGAGAGAAAAAAGCGUUUUGUAUGCUUAAUAUACUCAUAGCAUCACAAACUAAAGAAUUACACUCAAUUUUGAAAAAUAAAUCAGGAUAAAAUUUAUUUAAAAUAAAAAAUUAUGGAUAUCCUAACUGUUAAUGCUAGUGUAUGAUUUCUUAUUGACUUCCUAAUUUUUUUCAAAAAUAGUCCUAGGUGAAUUCAAAUUCAGAUUCUCUUUCAACAUAUAUAAGUUAUCGUAUAGUCUACCAUUGUCAAUCAUCUUCCCAAUUUGAAGGUUCUGAAUAACAUUAUGGUCAAUAAAAUAUUUACUUUUAUAAUUAAGUACUUUAUUGAGAGCACUAACAGAUAAAAUAUUAAUAAAGAAAUAAAGAACAUGAAGAAUAGAGAAUAGUAUAAUAUUUGGAGUACAUGCAAUAGAACUGGUUCAAAAGAUAGGAGUGAAAGAACUAUACACUAUUGUAACAGUGCUCGUUUAUAGACAUGGAAAAUAAUUGAGGAAGUCUUUAAAAGAGUAUGUCAUGUGUCUAUUUGCACCAAAAUCAAUAAUCUAUAGAGACGACAUGUUACAAAAUAGCAAUAAAGUGAACACAACAAUGCAAGAGGUUGCCUAACUAAAGCGAACACCCAAUCAACACCCAACUUCAGCAAGAAACCCUUUUUGCUUCUACCAUGGCAAGGAGCAGCAAUGAAGCCAAAAAAAAACCCAAAAAGAGGGUAAAAAGAAGCUAUCCACACUAAAUAAAUAUCUAACCAACUCCUAAUAGAGAAAGGAAUAGUAGUAGAAGGCUGAAAACAGAAGCCCAAGGUCAACAGCAUUGGACAGACGUGAAGAUCCUUACUGAAAACAGGGUCACGCGCCAAUAAUGAGUGGCGCGUGAGCACGCACCGAUAGAUGACACAUCGAAGGCAAGCGGACGGCCGGUGAGGAGGCUACGAUCCUUCUGAGAGUGGCGGUGAUGAAAGAAAAUAUGCCUAGAUAGAAGAGUAGCAAAUUUGGUUGUCUAGGGUUUUGAAAAUUCAAAACUAAAUUAGAACCCUAAAUCAGGCUUAGACUCUAAUACCAUGAAUAAUUUUAGGAAAAAUUUUUAAUUUUAUUCUAAAUGAAUUGAUCUUUACAAGAUUUUAGUAUUUAUACAUAAAGAAUUAACCUAAAUUAGGAAUAUUUAUAAUAAAAAUAAAAUCCCUAUAAUGAAGCUUAAUUAGAAUCCCUAUAAUGAAGCCUAAUUAGAAUAUCAAAUAUCUAAAUUCUCCUAAUUAGAAACUUUUUAUGUUGGUCAACAUCAUCAACUUCCACAAACUCUCCAUCGCCCAAGUGCAUUCCAAUAGCUGGCGCAUUCUUGUGGCGUUCCGGUUCAUCUGUUUCAACAACAUUGAGCUAAGCAUUACUAUAUUCUCCGAACUAUACCAGCUAGGCACCCGAGUCAAUGAGGAGUAUUGGUUCUUCAAUGGUAAGAAGCGUCACAUCCUCUUUGAUUAGCUCUCAUCAUCUCUUAAUCGAUGGAAGAAAAAAAUUUUCAUCAUCCACUAUCAUGUGUCUGAGGGGUUCAGUGUUAGGAAAUCCAGAGAUUUACUGCAACCCAAACACGCAGCGAAAAAAAAUAAAAAUCUUUAUUUUCCUUUCCGGGAUUCGUGUGCUUCGUUUAUUUCGAAGAAAAUGAUACGAGACUAACCAGUUUGACUCGACGAGAAUAUACUAUUGGCGAUUAAUGAUGCUACUUUUUCAACGAACACCCUCUAUGGUAUCCACACAAAUAUCUUCUAUCCUUCUAGAGUGUUAGCUUUCUCAAGAUGGAUAAACUAUGUACUCUCGAUCUGCAACUAAAACGAAUUCUCAAAAACGAUACUUCCACUUCGCAGAAGCGGUUUUUAUUCGUUUUUAGUCUUUUAUUUUCCCACAACUCUUUUCGUGAAAGAGUUGUGUUCAUAACCCACUAUCACGAUCUCACAGAUACUCAAAUAUCUUAUGUAGAGUUGUGUUUAUAACCAACUAUUACAAUCUCACAGAUACUCAAAUAUCUUAUGUGAUAGAGUCCUUUAUCUGUAACAGUUAUAGAUAAACUGCAUAUCCUUUUAAAUAUUAUUAUCUUAUAAUAAUAAAUAAUUAAUAUUAAUAAUAAUAACUCUUUAUUAUUAUUAAUUAUAUUAAUGGGCUUUGGGCUUUUAGCCCAUUAAUAUGACAUAGCACAUCAAUAACGUUCUUUUGUGUGUAACCCAAUAGGCUCACAUUAAUUGGCAAUAGGCCUAGUCCCACAAGGCCCACAAAUCAUAAGCGGCUUCUAGCAAGACAUUAUGACUACCCAAUUAAUAUGAGGAUCGAUAAUCCGAUAAAGCCUAAUAAAUAGAACGUGUAUUAAUCCCUUUAUCACACGAUAUCUAGUUUGAACAUAAGUCAUGGUCAAUGUCAAACUUAUAAUGUUCAAACUUAUGAUUUCUCGAUCUCUAAGUAGACUGAUAAAUUCAAAUAAUAUUGAUCGCACUAUCAAUUCAUUUGAGCACGGCCAUGCAUUUCUCAGCCUCACUUAUCGAGAGACCUAGAAGAUAUCUCUCUUAGAGAGACGGAUAAAUUCUAUCUUGAUUGUUCAAUAUCCUCUACAUAAUUUCUGUUAUGCUCAAUCAUAACAUUUAUGAUUGUUCGAUUAAAGACAAUGUUUGGUUAUGUCAAAAUAUAACAGUCCCUAUGUUAGAAACUAUGACAAUCUCAAGUCAAAAAAUUAAGACAUAACUACUUUGAGAUUCACUGAUGACAAUAACCCAUGUAGUGAUCUCAGUAUGGGUCCAUCCAAUACUUUGUUCUCAAACAAGUAUCUAUGAUUAUUGAAUUCUAUCAACAUAUACAUAAUCAUCUCAUGAUUAUCAAUCAAUAACCAUACUAGUUAUAUUUUAUUAUUAUCAACAUAAUAAUAAAUAACCAGGAAUGUUAAUCAUUAUUAUGUAACAUGCAAACAAAUAAUAAUGAUAGUAAAAACUUUUUUUAUUAAUAACCAAAACGACAUACAAAAAAGUCAAAGAUAAUGACAUAGGGCAAAUACACUAACAUUUAGAACCUUCAAAUAGACUAAAACCUGUAUGUGGAGUUGAGGAAGGAUGGGGGCUAGGCCCAGUAGAGAGGAAGAGGAAGCCUCGACCAAUUGCCCAUAGGCCACAUGAGCAAAUUAAUCCUCGCUCUCAGAACAUAAUAUUUAUUUCUAAAAAUCAUUAUCUUUACUCUGCCAUACUUACUCAUCUUUUUUUGUGCAGAUAUGGUUGGCAAGGGAAAAUUUAUUGAAGCUACUCGUGCUGCUUGCAAAG
Molecule: long non-coding RNA, 21855 nt
Filed under: Manihot esculenta (cassava)
Lineage: Eukaryota; Viridiplantae; Streptophyta; Magnoliopsida; Malpighiales; Euphorbiaceae
Description: long non-coding RNA (MESC_LNC007897)
Source: RNAcentral